This 202-nucleotide ribosomal RNA is filed under the name uncultured bacterium. Its description in RNAcentral is "partial 16S ribosomal RNA". It matches the Rfam family "Bacterial small subunit ribosomal RNA", at positions 356 to 549 of the family's 1533-position model. The record is from RNAcentral.
AGGGAAUCUUCGGCAAUGGGGGCAACCCUGACCGAGCAACGCCGCGUGAGUGAAGAAGGUUUUCGGAUCGUAAAGCUCUGUUGUAAGUCAAGAACGGGUGUGAGAGUGGAAAGUUCACACUGUGACGGUAGCUUACCAGAAAGGGACGGCCAACUACGUGCCAGCAGCCGCGGUAAUACGUAGGUCCCGAGCGUUGUCCGGA